GAUGAACGCUGGCGGCGUGCCUAAUACAUGCAAGUCGAGCGAACAGACGAGGAGCUUGCUCCUCUGACGUUAGCGGCGGACGGGUGAGUAACACGUGGAUAACCUACCUAUAAGACUGGGAUAACUUCGGGAAACCGGAGCUAAUACCGGAUAAUAUAUUGAACCGCAUGGUUCAAUAGUGAAAGACGGUUUUGCUGUCACUUAUAGAUGGAUCCGCGCCGCAUUAGCUAGUUGGUAAGGUAACGCUUACCAAGGCAACGAUGCGUAGCCGACCUGAGAGGGUGAUCGGCCACACUGGAACUGAGACACGGUCCAGACUCCUACGGGAGGCAGCAGUAGGGAAUCUUCCGCAAUGGGCGAAAGCCUGACGGAGCAACGCCGCGUGAGUGAUGAAGGUCUUCGGAUCGUAAAACUCUGUUAUUAGGGAAGAACAAAUGUGUAAGUAACUAUGCACGUCUUGACGGUACCUAAUCAGAAAGCCACGGCUAACUACGUG
Molecule: ribosomal RNA, 496 nt
Filed under: uncultured bacterium
Lineage: Bacteria
Description: partial 16S ribosomal RNA
Rfam family: Bacterial small subunit ribosomal RNA
Source: RNAcentral